Molecule: ribosomal RNA, 459 nt
Filed under: uncultured bacterium
Lineage: Bacteria
Description: partial 16S ribosomal RNA
Rfam family: Bacterial small subunit ribosomal RNA
Source: RNAcentral
CCUACGGGUGGCUGCAGUGAGGAAUAUUGGUCAAUGGGCGGGAGCCUGAACCAGCCAAGCCGCGUGAGGGAAGAAGGUACUGCGUAUUGUAAACUUCUUUUGUCAGGGAACAAAGGCGGGGACUAGUUCCCGGAUGAGGGUACCUGAAGAAAAAGCAUCGGCUAACUCGGUGCCAGCAGCCGCGGUAAUACGGAGGAUGUGAGCGUUAUCCGGAUUUAUUGGGUUAAAGGGGGGGGCAGGCGGCCUGUUAAGUCAGCGGUAAAAGCCCGGGGCUCAACCCCGGCGAGCCGUUGAAACUGGGUUGCUGGAGUUGGAGAGAAGUACGCGGAAUGCGCGGUGUAGCGGUGAAAUGCGUAGAUAUCGCGCAGAACCCCGGUGGCGAAGGCAGCGUACCGGCUCCACACUGACGCUGAGGCACGAAAGCGUGGGUAGCGAACAGGAUUAGAUACCCGGGUAGUC